RNAcentral lists this ribosomal RNA (479 nucleotides) under Enterobacter cloacae. Its description in RNAcentral is "partial 23S ribosomal RNA". It matches the Rfam family "Bacterial large subunit ribosomal RNA", at positions 2261 to 2739 of the family's 2925-position model. RNAcentral also lists the same sequence under 1 other name. The record is from RNAcentral. Lineage: Bacteria; Pseudomonadati; Pseudomonadota; Gammaproteobacteria; Enterobacterales; Enterobacteriaceae.
GUGGGUAGUUUGACUGGGGCGGUCUCCUCCCAAAGAGUAACGGAGGAGCACGAAGGUUAGCUAAUCCUGGUCGGACAUCAGGAGGUUAGUGCAAUGGCAUAAGCUAGCUUGACUGCGAGAGUGACGGCUCGAGCAGGUGCGAAAGCAGGUCAUAGUGAUCCGGUGGUUCUGAAUGGAAGGGCCAUCGCUCAACGGAUAAAAGGUACUCCGGGGAUAACAGGCUGAUACCGCCCAAGAGUUCAUAUCGACGGCGGUGUUUGGCACCUCGAUGUCGGCUCAUCACAUCCUGGGGCUGAAGUAGGUCCCAAGGGUAUGGCUGUUCGCCAUUUAAAGUGGUACGCGAGCUGGGUUUAGAACGUCGUGAGACAGUUCGGUCCCUAUCUGCCGUGGGCGCUGGAGAAUUGAGGGGGGCUGCUCCUAGUACGAGAGGACCGGAGUGGACGCAUCACUGGUGUUCGGGUUGUCAUGCCAAUGGCACU